Molecule: long non-coding RNA, 1478 nt
Organism: Scylla paramamosain (green mud crab)
Lineage: Eukaryota; Metazoa; Arthropoda; Malacostraca; Decapoda; Portunidae
Exons: 4
Source: RefSeq, a predicted model, not a curated record
CUGUGUAUUUCUCUUUUUUUUUUUCCCCCUUCUACAGGAGUUGCCGAUCCAAAGGCUUGGCUUAGGAGUGAUCCUGAGCCACCAGUACCAUCAAGAUCGAGAUCAAGACCAGGAAUUUCAAAGAAUCCCUGCUGUGAGUGUGUGUGUGAGUGGAGAGGGACAAGGAUGGUCCCAAAAAGCUACAUUCCUAAGGAUACCAAGAGCAUGUCAUUCUCAGUGCAUUGGAAUUUGCUGAGAUGGCAGUCCUUGAGGUGGCAGUCCUGUACACGACAGCCACAGUGGUCACAGCAGUGGGUCACUUGAAGGUGCAUAAAUGGCAGUCCUUGAGGUGGCAGUCCUGUACACGACAGCCACGGCGGUCACAGCAGUGGGUCACUUGAAGGUGCAUAGAUGGCAUCCUUGAGGUGGCAGUCCUGUACACGACAGCCAUGGCAGUCACAGCAGUGGGACACUUGAACGUGCAUAGGUGGCAGUCCUGUACAUGACAGCCAUGGCGGUCACAGCAGUGGGACACUUGAAGGUGCAUAGGUGGCAGUCCUGUACACGACAGCCAUGGCAGUCACACCAGUGGGACACUUGAAGGUGCAUAGGUGGCAGUCCUUGAGUUGGCAGUCCUGCACACGACAGCCACGGUGGUAACAGCAGUGGGACACUCAAAGGUGCAUAGAUGUAUGUAUACACACACCUUAAUUGUUUACUACUUCUUAGUGUUUGCCAUAUUCCUUCCCAUAAAUAGUUGUUUAAUAAUUGUUUACCUUCAAGUGAACAAUGCAAACAAAAUUGUGAGCACAUACUGUAAACAUCAAAUAACUUGGAACAUCUCAUCCCACAUUUCCCUUACUGUAUAUUUACAUGUUAUAUUUGUACAAGCAGUUAUUUAUUUUAUCUUCCUUUUUUUUUUUUUUUUUUCUAAGGUUCAUAUUUUAAUUUUGUCUCCAGUAGAACAUGAAGCAUCCAGGAUUGAUGCCUGAGUGGUCAUGGACAUGUCACAAGUACAGCUUCCACAUUAUGGGGAGAAAUUAAUUGUGUUAUAUCAAGUUAUUAUUUUAUGAUUUUAAAAUAACAAAAUGUUUGUAAUAUCACCAUGUGAUGUUUACUACUUGGUUAUUUGUGCAGAUGUUUACAGGACAAAUUUUGGAUGGCUGAAAACGAAUGAUGACACAAUCACCCGGACCUUCCACCACAUGUUAGCUGGGAUGCCAGACAAGGUGGCGUCCCUUUUCAGGUGCCCGCACAGUGUCCCAUCACUGAGCAGCAGCUUGGGGCAGCAGGCCAGACACCACCACAGCCUUGCCCCAAGCCUGGUGACUGCUUUUAUUUGCUUCACAAUGUUGGCUUAGAAAAAUCAGGUUGCUGCAGAACAUCAUCAGCAAGCUCAAAAAACAAGGGAUUGAGGUAGCAGACCCUGAAGAAUCCACAGCAGCUGAAAACUCUAUUUCUCCAUAUGCAAGCCCUGAAGUGCAGGAGUUUAUCAGAGC